GAUGAACGCUGGCGGCGUGCCUAAUACAUGCAAGUCGAGCGAACAGACGAGGAGCUUGCUCCUCUGACGUUAGCGGCGGACGGGUGAGUAACACGUGGAUAACCUACCUAUAAGACUGGGAUAACUUCGGGAAGCCGGAGCUAAUACCGGAUAAUAUAUUGAACCACAUGGUUCAAUAGUGAAAGACGGUGUUGCUGGCACUUAUAGAUGGAUCCGCGCCGCAUUAGGUGGUUGGUAAGGUAACGGCUUACCAAGGCAAGGAUGCGUAGCCGACCUGAGAGGGUGAUCGGCCACACUGGAACUGAGCCACGGUCCAGACUCCUACGGGAGGCAGCAGUAGGGAAUCUUCCGCAAUGGGCGAAAGCCUGACGGAGCAACGCCGCGUGAGUGAUGAAGGUCUUCGGAUCGUAAAACUCUGUUAUUAGGGAAGAACAAAUGUGUAAGUAACUAUGCACGUCUUGACGGUACCUAAUCAGAAAGCCACGGCUAACUACGUG
RNAcentral lists this ribosomal RNA (497 nucleotides) under uncultured bacterium. Its description in RNAcentral is "partial 16S ribosomal RNA". It matches the Rfam family "Bacterial small subunit ribosomal RNA", at positions 28 to 507 of the family's 1533-position model. The record is from RNAcentral.